AAGACUCUAGGAGUCCCUUGGACUGAAGCUGGUCUUUGCUCUCUCCUCACAGGGCACCCCUCCUGAGACUGUGGUGGGAACCAGCACAAGCCGGAGCUGCUGCCUGCAGAUUCACAAGGGGCAAGUUUGAAUACGAAUCUGCUGUGUUCCUAUCUGCCAAGUUCCUAUAUGUUUCUGGGGUAAACACUGAGACACGCCAAGAAACAAACACACACAUGCACAACUUCCCUGACCACAAGACUACACACACACACACACACACACACACACACACGUGCAGGCAGGCUCACAAACAGAGCCCAUUGCAAUCACAACACCACACACACACACACACACACACACACACACACACACACACAGUCUUGCUCAACUUCUGAGUCAUCAACAUAACUAGUGGAGGGUUCUGCAGUUUUUGCUGGGGGAGGAGCUGGAGGAGACCAAGGGAUCCAGAGAGGCCUUUACUCCCGGACACCUGAGAGCCCCGGUGUGUGGAAGAGGUGGUGUCUGAGGGGCGGUGGGAGGAAGUUUCUACUCCCCUCCUCCCUCCCAUAGCAGGGGCUGGGCUGAGGGGCCAAAGCUAGGCCUAUGCUGCCCCCUGGUGCCUGAAUUGAUUUCCAGAACCAGCUCCUCCUCCUCCAUCCCUUGCUACCCCGCAGGUCUGUACAUGAGUGCACGUGUGUGGACCCAGCCAGGCAGCAGAGGGUUUGAACACAGCAAAAUAUAGCAGUUAAAAGACUGGACUGUGGAUACAGGCUGCUUGGGUUCAAAUCCUGCUAAUGCUGCUAACCACACAACCCUGAGCAAUUUACUCUGUGAUUCAUUCUCGUCAUCUGUAAAAUGGAGCAAAUAAGUCUUAACCCAUAAUGUGAGAAUAAAAUGCAGUAAAACAUCUGAAGGCUUAGAACAAUGCCUGACACACAGUAACUGUCAGGCACUAUUUUUAUGGUUCAUAAUAAACCAGGUAUGAGGAAAGGAGAAGGGUCUCCAUCCUACAUAGAAGUCCCCAGAUUUGGGGGUCAUGUUACUGCCAAAAGGAUAUUGAGGGUGUAUGUGCGUAUGUGUUUGCUGUGUCUGCAGGACAGUGAAUGGAAGAGAAGGGAGAGCAGGGGUGGAGGUGGCAGGCAGGGACUCUGUCCAUUGGCUUGUCCAACAAGCCAUGCUAGGAUCAAGGUGUGUGCACAUACGUGUUCACGGCACACGUGCUUUGUAUGUGCUCCCGAGUGCCCACUCUGCCUGCAGACAUCCACAGACAGUAGGUGAAGCCAGGUUUCACCAUCUAAGGGUGUCAGAGCUACAAGUCCCCAAAGACUUGGAGAGGAGGAGGGAAAAGAGUAAAUGUGAUCUCUGACUUUGGCUCCUUUUAGGGGGUAGGAAGGCGAGGAGCAAGUACUGGUAGAAAAAUAGUAUAUAUUACUCCCUCUGUAACUGACUAUACCAAUGGGAACACUGUGAUGUAAGGGGAAAAAACAGAAUUUAGAGGCAAAUCUGGCUUGGGUAUGACUCCAUUUAGGAGGUUCACAAUCAGGUGUCAAUCCCUCAAAUGAGAAUAAUAGUUAUACCUACUUCAACAGAGUCUAGGCUAGGGUAAAGUGCCUAGAGUAUGAAAUUUAAGGAGAUACUCAUCUUCAGAUUGUACAAUUGCAGGGUCUGUCAGACCUUCAUUAAUGACAUCUGCACCUGCAUGACUGUGAGGGUGACUGUAUCACCCUCCCCUGGACCUUGACAUCCCAUUGAGUGGUGGUAAAGAUUGCACAAGAGAGGCUCACGCCUGUAAUCCCAGCACUUUGG
Molecule: long non-coding RNA, 1788 nt
Filed under: Homo sapiens (human)
Lineage: Eukaryota; Metazoa; Chordata; Mammalia; Primates; Hominidae
Description: HSALNT0368536
Source: RNAcentral